CAGUCGCCGCGGUAAUACGAAGGGUGCAAGCGUUACUCGGAAUUACUGGGCGUAAAGCGUGCGUAGGUGGUGGUUUAAGUCCGUUGUGAAAGCCCUGGGCUCAACCUGGGAAUUGCAGUGGAUACUGGGUCACUAGAGUGUGGUAGAGGAUAGUGGAAUUUCCGGUGUAGCAGUGAAAUGCGUAGAGAUCUGGAGGAAUACCGAUGGCGAAGGCAGCCAUCUGGCCUAACACUGACGCUGAGGUACGAAAGCAUGGGGAGCAAACAGGAUUAGAUACCCGUGUAGUCCCUGUCUCUUAUAC
This 301-nucleotide ribosomal RNA is filed under the name uncultured bacterium. RNAcentral's name for it is "partial 16S ribosomal RNA". It matches the Rfam family "Bacterial small subunit ribosomal RNA", at positions 509 to 807 of the family's 1533-position model. The record is from RNAcentral.